AGCAGCCGCGGUAAUUCCAGCUCCAAUAGCGUAUAUUAAAGUUGUUGCAGUUAAAAAGCUCGUAGUUGAAUUUCGGGGUUAGUAGGUUGGUCAUGCCUCUGGUAUGUACUGGUCUCACUGAUUCCUCCUUCCUGAUGAACCUUAAUGCCAUUUAUUUGGUGUUUUGGGGAAUUUGGACUGUUACUUUGAAAAAAUUAGAGUGUUUAAAGCAAGCUAACGCUUGAAUACAUUAGCAUGGAAUAAUGAAAUAGGACGUUCGAUCCUAUUUUGUUGGUUUCUAGGAUUGACGUAAUGAUUAAUAGGGAUAGUUGGGGGCAUUAGUAUUCAAUUGUCAGAGGUGAAAUUCUUGGAUUUAUUGAAGACUAACUACUGCGAAAGCAUUUGCCAAGGAUGUUUUCAUUAAUCAGGAACGAAAGUUAGGGGAUCGAAGACGAUCAGAUACCGUCGUAGUCUUAACCAUAAACCAUGCCGACUAGGGAUCGGAUGAUGUUAAUUUUUUAAUGACUCAUUCGGCGCCUUA
RNAcentral lists this ribosomal RNA (520 nucleotides) under uncultured Glomus. RNAcentral describes it as "SSU rRNA". It matches the Rfam family "Eukaryotic small subunit ribosomal RNA", at positions 569 to 1090 of the family's 1831-position model. The record is from RNAcentral. Lineage: Eukaryota; Fungi; Glomeromycota; Glomeromycetes; Glomerales; Glomeraceae.